Molecule: ribosomal RNA, 1582 nt
Filed under: Salmonella enterica subsp. enterica serovar Stanley
Lineage: Bacteria; Pseudomonadati; Pseudomonadota; Gammaproteobacteria; Enterobacterales; Enterobacteriaceae
Description: partial 23S ribosomal RNA
Rfam family: Bacterial large subunit ribosomal RNA
Source: RNAcentral
CGGAGCGAAGCGACGUCAAAGCGUUCAUUAAAGUCGAGUUGGCUUAGGGAUACGUUCGUUGGGUAGGGGAGCGUUCUGUAAGCCGUUGAAGGUGGCCUGUGAGGGUUGCUGGAGGUAUCAGAAGUGCGAAUGCUGACAUAAGUAACGAUAAAGCGGGUGAAAAGCCCGCUCGCCGGAAGACCAAGGGUUCCUGUCCAACGUUAAUCGGGGCAGGGUGAGUCGACCCCUAAGGCGAGGCCGAAAGGCGUAGUCGAUGGGAAACGGGUUAAUAUUCCCGUACUUGGUGUUACUGCGAAGGGGGGACGGAGAAGGCUAUGUUGGCCGGGCGACGGUUGUCCCGGUUUAAGCGUGUAGGUGUGUGUUCCAGGUAAAUCCGGUUCACUUUAACACUGAGGCGUGACGACGAGGCACUACGGUGCUGAAGCAACAAAUGCCCUGCUUCCAGGAAAAGCCUCUAAGCAUCAGGUAACAUCAAAUCGUACCCCAAACCGACACAGGUGGUCAGGUAGAGAAUACCAAGGCGCUUGAGAGAACUCGGGUGAAGGAACUAGGCAAAAUGGUGCCGUAACUUCGGGAGAAGGCACGCUGACACGUAGGUGAAGUGAUUUACUCAUGGAGCUGAAGUCAGUCGAAGAUACCAGCUGGCUGCAACUGUUUAUUAAAAACACAGCACUGUGCAAACACGAAAGUGGACGUAUACGGUGUGACGCCUGCCCGGUGCCGGAAGGUUAAUUGAUGGGGUCAGCGCAAGCGAAGCUCCUGAUCGAAGCCCCGGUAAACGGCGGCCGUAACUAUAACGGUCCUAAGGUAGCGAAAUUCCUUGUCGGGUAAGUUCCGACCUGCACGAAUGGCGUAAUGAUGGCCAGGCUGUCUCCACCCGAGACUCAGUGAAAUUGAACUCGCUGUGAAGAUGCAGUGUACCCGCGGCAAGACGGAAAGACCCCGUGAACCUUUACUAUAGCUUGACACUGAACAUUGAGCCUUGAUGUGUAGGAUAGGUGGGAGGCUUUGAAGCGUGGACGCCAGUCUGCGUGGAGCCGACCUUGAAAUACCACCCUUUAAUGUUUGAUGUUCUAACGUGGACCCGUGAUCCGGGUUGCGGACAGUGUCUGGUGGGUAGUUUGACUGGGGCGGUCUCCUCCUAAAGAGUAACGGAGGAGCACGAAGGUUGGCUAAUCCUGGUCGGACAUCAGGAGGUUAGUGCAAUGGCAUAAGCCAGCUUGACUGCGAGCGUGACGGCGCGAGCAGGUGCGAAAGCAGGUCAUAGUGAUCCGGUGGUUCUGAAUGGAAGGGCCAUCGCUCAACGGAUAAAAGGUACUCCGGGGAUAACAGGCUGAUACCGCCCAAGAGUUCAUAUCGACGGCGGUGUUUGGCACCUCGAUGUCGGCUCAUCACAUCCUGGGGCUGAAGUAGGUCCCAAGGGUAUGGCUGUUCGCCAUUUAAAGUGGUACGCGAGCUGGGUUUAGAACGUCGUGAGACAGUUCGGUCCCUAUCUGCCGUGGGCGCUGGAGAACUGAGGGGGGCUGCUCCUAGUACGAGAGGACCGGAGUGGACGCAUCACUGGUGUUCGGGUUGUCAUGCC